UGAGGAAUAUUGGUCAAUGGGCGAGAGCCUGAACCAGCCAAGUAGCGUGAAGGAUGAAGGUCCUAUGGAUUGUAAACUUCUUUUAUAGUAGAAUAAAGUGAGCCACGUGUGGUUUUUUGUAUGUAUACUAUGAAUAAGGAUCGGCUAACUCCGUGCCAGCAGCCGCGGUAAUACGGAGGAUCCGAGCGUUAUCCGGAUUUAUUGGGUUUAAAGGGUGCGUAGGCGGAAUAAUAAGUCAGUUGUGAAAGUUUGCGGCUCAACCGUAAAAUUGCAGUUGAUACUGUUAUUCUUGAGUGUACAUAAGGUAGGCGGAAUUCGUGGUGUAGCGGUGAAAUGCUUAGAUAUCACGAAGAACUCCAAUUGCGAAGGCAGCUUACCGGGGUACAACUGACGCUGAGGCACGAAAGUGUGGGUAUCAAACA
This 422-nucleotide ribosomal RNA is filed under the name uncultured bacterium. RNAcentral's name for it is "partial 16S ribosomal RNA". It matches the Rfam family "Bacterial small subunit ribosomal RNA", at positions 355 to 774 of the family's 1533-position model. RNAcentral also lists the same sequence under 1 other name. The record is from RNAcentral.